RNAcentral lists this ribosomal RNA (253 nucleotides) under uncultured bacterium. RNAcentral describes it as "partial 16S ribosomal RNA". It matches the Rfam family "Bacterial small subunit ribosomal RNA", at positions 524 to 776 of the family's 1533-position model. The record is from RNAcentral.
UACGUAGGGUGCGAGCGUUAAUCGGAAUUACUGGGCGUAAAGCGUGCGCAGGCGGUUCGUUAAGUCAGAUGUGAAAUCCCCGGGCUUAACCUGGGAACUGCAUUUGUGACUGGCGAGCUAGAGUAUGGCAGAGGGGGGUAGAAUUCCACGUGUAGCAGUGAAAUGCGUAGAGAUGUGGAGGAAUACCGAUGGCGAAGGCAGCCCCCUGGGCCAAUACUGACGCUCAGGCACGAAAGCGUGGGGAGCAAACAGG